RNAcentral lists this ribosomal RNA (446 nucleotides) under Staphylococcus sp. B2_43. Its description in RNAcentral is "bacterial SSU rRNA". It matches the Rfam family "Bacterial small subunit ribosomal RNA", at positions 63 to 495 of the family's 1533-position model. The record is from RNAcentral. Lineage: Bacteria; Bacillati; Bacillota; Bacilli; Caryophanales; Staphylococcaceae.
CGAACAGAUAAGGAGCUUGCUCCUUUGACGUUAGCGGCGGACGGGUGAGUAACACGUGGAUAACCUACCUAUAAGACUGGGAUAACUUCGGGAAACCGGAGCUAAUACCGGAUAAGAUUUUGAACCGCAUGGUUCAAUAGUGAAAGACGGCCUUGCUGUCACUUAUAGAUGGAUCCGCGCCGUAUUAGCUAGUUGGUAAGGUAACGGCUUACCAAGGCAACGAUACGUAGCCGACCUGAGAGGGUGAUCGGCCACACUGGAACUGAGACACGGUCCAGACUCCUACGGGAGGCAGCAGUAGGGAAUCUUCCGCAAUGGGCGAAAGCCUGACGGAGCAACGCCGCGUGAGUGAUGAAGGUCUUCGGAUCGUAAAACUCUGUUAUCAGGGAAGAACAAACGUGUAAGUAACUGUGCACGUCUUGACGGUACCUGAUCAGAAAGCCACG